RNAcentral lists this ribosomal RNA (492 nucleotides) under uncultured bacterium. RNAcentral describes it as "partial 16S ribosomal RNA". It matches the Rfam family "Bacterial small subunit ribosomal RNA", at positions 29 to 507 of the family's 1533-position model. The record is from RNAcentral.
AGUGAACGCUGGCGGUAGGCCUAACACAUGCAAGUCGAACGGCAGCACAGUAAGAGCUUGCUCUUACGGGUGGCGAGUGGCGGACGGGUGAGGAAUACAUCGGAAUCUACUUUUUCGUGGGGGAUAACGUAGGGAAACUUACGCUAAUACCGCAUACGACCUACGGGUGAAAGCAGGGGAUCUUCGGACCUUGCGCGAUUGAAUGAGCCGAUGUGGGAUUAGCUAGUUGGCGGGGUAAAGGCCCACCAAGGCGACGAUCCGUAGCUGGUCUGAGAGGAUGGUCAGCCACACUGGAACUGGGACACGGUCCAGACUCCUACGGGAGGCAGCAGUGGGGAAUAUUGGACAAUGGGCGCAAGCCUGAUCCAGCCAUACCGCGUGGGUGAAGAAGGCGUUCGGGUUGUAAAGCCCUUUUGUUGGGAAAGAAAAGCAGCAGGUUAAUACCCCGCUGUUCUGACGGUACCCAAAGAAUAAGCACCGGCUAACUUCGUG